GCGGAGGAGAAGGAAUUAACUAAGAUUCCCUCAGUAACGGCGAGUGAAGUGGGAUGUAGCCCAGCACCGAAUCCGCCUGGCCUAGCGCCUUGUGGACCUGUGGUGUUUGGGGUCCCAGCUUUCGUUCCGCGUGCCGGCUCCUCAGUCGCAUUGAAGGGCAUUUGCUCCACAGCGGGUGUCAGACCCUUGUGACGAGCUGGACCGGGCGAAGGUUUGAGGGACCUCUCGAGUCGGGUUGUUUGAGAAUGCAGCCCAAAGACGGUGGUAAGCUCCAUCGAAGGCUAAACAUUGCCACGAGUCCGAUAGCGAACAAGUACCGUGAGGGAACGUUGAAAAGGACUUCGAAGAGAGAGUUCAAUAGUACGUGAAACCGCCUAGAGGGAAACGAGUGGCUCCGCAUUGUCGGCCAGCGGUGUUCAUGUCGAUGUGCUACGAGAUUCUUUUUGAGAUUGUGUACAGUCGGCCUGUUCUCCUCGGAGAUCGCGUAUCGGCUCAUAAUACUCUAUAUUUGAUGAUCGCACUCGAAUGCAAUCACCGUGAGGCAGGGCGUCACGAUCGCUUUCUGGCGGGCAUCCGAUCGACAAGCUGGCUUGUGAGAACAUCUUUUAGAUCGUUCAACUCGUGUGGCUGUUGGUCGAGUUUGCCGGGGAGCGUGUAACGAUCACCGCGUGUAUGGGCUACAAAGCCAAUGUUGUCGAUGGACGAGCCUUGGCGACGGUCUUACGGCCGCCGUUCUGUCGGUCGUGUAGUCGGCAUCUGGGCAGGUCCUGCGUGGUUUUGGAUCGGUGGCGAUUGAGUCGG
Molecule: ribosomal RNA, 801 nt
Filed under: Cocculinidae sp. MNHN IM 2013-60030
Lineage: Eukaryota; Metazoa; Mollusca; Gastropoda; Cocculinidae
Description: partial large subunit ribosomal RNA
Rfam family: Eukaryotic large subunit ribosomal RNA
Source: RNAcentral